GACGAACGCUGGCGGCGUGCUUAACACAUGCAAGUCGAGCGGUAAGGCCCUUUCGGGGGUACACGAGCGGCGAACGGGUGAGUAACACGUGGGUGACCUGCCCUCAGCUCUGGGAUAAGCCUGGGAAACCGGGUCUAAUACUGGAUAUGACUCCAUGACGCAUGUUGUGGGGUGGAAAGCCUUGUGCGGCUGAGGAUGGGCCCGCGGCCUAUCAGCUUGUUGGUGGGGUGAGGCCUACCAAGGCGACGACGGGUAGCCGGCCUGAGAGGGCGACCGGCCACACUGGGACUGAGACACGGCCCAGACUCCUACGGGAGGCAGCAGUGGGGAAUAUUGCGCAAUGGGCGAAAGCCUGACGCAGCGACGCCGCGUGGGUGAUGAAGGCCUC
Molecule: ribosomal RNA, 388 nt
Filed under: uncultured bacterium
Lineage: Bacteria
Description: bacterial SSU rRNA
Rfam family: Bacterial small subunit ribosomal RNA
Source: RNAcentral